AGCGAACGCUGGCGGCAGGCUUAACACAUGCAAGUCGAGCGGGCACUUUCGGGUGUCAGCGGCGGACGGGUGAGUAACGCGUGGGAACGUGCCCUCUGGUUCGGAAUAACUCAGGGAAACUUGAGCUAAUACCGGAUACGCCCUUUUGGGGAAAGGCUUGCUGCCGGAGGAUCGGCCCGCGUCUUAUUAGCUAGUUGGUGAGGUAACGGCUCACCAAGGCGACGAUCAGUAGCUGGUCUGAGAGGAUGAUCAGCCACACUGGGACUGAGACACGGCCCAGACUCCUACGGGAGGCAGCAGUGGGGAAUAUUGGACAAUGGGCGCAAGCCUGAUCCAGCCAUGCCGCGUGAGUGAUGAAGGCCUUAGGGUUGUAAAGCUCUUUUAUCCGGGACGAUAAUGACGGUACCGGAGGAAUAAGCCCCGGCUAACUUCGUG
This 435-nucleotide ribosomal RNA is filed under the name uncultured bacterium. RNAcentral's name for it is "partial 16S ribosomal RNA". It matches the Rfam family "Bacterial small subunit ribosomal RNA", at positions 29 to 507 of the family's 1533-position model. The record is from RNAcentral.